Bacillus rossius redtenbacheri is the source of this 2188-nucleotide long non-coding RNA. RefSeq lists it as uncharacterized. The transcript is spliced from 2 exons. NCBI's taxonomy places the organism in Eukaryota, Metazoa, Arthropoda, Insecta, Phasmatodea, Bacillidae. The record is from RefSeq and is a predicted model, not a curated record.
AGAAACAAGAAUACCCUGAGAAUCCGUUGGCUGUUGAAUGCCCACGAGAAAUACUAGGGAAACAUCCACCAAUCAGAGUGGCCGCGUGCCUACCAUCAACCAACUGUGUCAAGCCCGUGUUCAGUGAAGAGAAUAUAAUGUUUUUAUGUACAACUGACUGGUCCCAAGCAAGUUAUGAGCUGUUCUUCCGUUGGUAGGACGAGUAGUUGUUGAGUACUACGAGGGGCAAAAUUAUAUGGUGAAUAGUGAUAAAACACAAAAUGCAAUGAAAUUAAAACUAUAUGUACUUGAUACCAAACAAAUGAGGCUAAAUGCUUACAGAGAAAAAAAUGGAAUUUUCAUCAUUGCAUGUGGUUUUUUUUUAUUCACACUAUUAGUAUUGUAAUUAAAAUCUGAUAAAAUGUAAAAUUUAAAUUGGACUUUAUCCACUGUUAAUAUUUUGGUUCGUUAGCUCCUGUAACAAAGUUACUUUUUUUUUCAUAAAUGAAAUGUUAUAUGUAAUAGUAGUGACAUGUGUUAAACAUUCAAAAAAAUCGAAGUGACAUAGACAUAACUAUAAAUAUGAAGCCAUUAUAUCUUGCCUCUCUAGUACUGAUGAAACAAGAAUGUACCCGUGGAUGUGUUAAGUUCAUCCUUAUGUAUUCUUCUAAGAAGCAAUGGCCAAGCCUAUAAUGGACUUAAAUGUUGCAUGUGACAAGCUGAAACAUGUGAUAGUGUUAACCUAUGUUCUGGCUGUUUUUUAAGCCCAAGUCUUACACAUCAACUUCAUUAUUUCAUGAUGUUGUCAUUCAUGUUGAUUAAUUAGGAUCUUUUGCAUUUAUUGUUGUGCUACAAGUUUUCUCACCAGAUACUCUGCUAAAUUUUUUUUUUCAAGCUGUAAAAUGUUACGCUAUUGAACCCUGUUACAAAUCUUUUCAAGGGGGCACAAAGGAAGAAAAAACAUAAGUAGGAAAUAAGUACGUACAUCUGAUAAAACACUGGAAUGGCACGGAAAUCUUUUUUUCCCCAAGCAGGGGUGCCAACACACAUGAGUGAGAACAUUUUGUACUUUUGAUAUAUCCAUCUAUGAAAACAGUGGUUGUAAACAAAAAUGAAUGUAAACUUUUCUGUAGGCAUAGUUAGGUUUUUAAAACUUUUUAUUUUUGAAUUUUGGAAAGUAAUCAAGCAGGAAAUGAACCAUUCUGCUGCAUUUGUGAAACGUAAUGAAUACAUUGUCCUUGUGGGGAACAUUUCGGAGACUUACAUAAUAUGAUGGAAGAAGGAAAAAUAAGCAGGAAUAUUGUAACAGGGUUCUACUAUAAUUAUCAUGAAGUUGUAAAAUGUGAUGUAAGUGUAUAUCAUGUGAUAUUACUGAUAAAGCAGUUUCCAAGGACAUUAAGUUGAAACUCCUAACAAAAUAUUACUUAAUGCUAGGGAUGCGUGAGUACCCGAUAUUUUCGGGUAUGGUUUGAAUCCACAAUUAUCUGAACCCGAAAUCGGACGUACAUGGAUUCUAACAGUAUUACGAAUAUUCACAAAAGUUACAAAUUUAAUACGGCUCAAAAAUACUAGCAGUGAAAAAUAAAAUUAGGCUACUAUUACGUAAAGUAUUUAUAAUAUGAUGUAUCAAAGAAAGAUACUUAAACUAAAUAAUUCACACAGCGACAUUAAAAGAAUUUCCAGAGUUUAGACUAUAAUUACGAAUUUCGUUGUAUAGCACACUAUAAACUAAAAACAAUUACAUAUCUACAAGAAAAAAAUGUCUUGGCUAUUUAUUGCAGAAUAAAAUGCUUUCGUUUGGUGAAACGGAGAUUUUUCCCUGUGGCGUACAAUUGAGUUGGAGAAUCAAAUAUGUUUUGGUUUUCAGAUUUUAAAGUAUUAUUAAUUAAGUUUACAUAAUUAUAAACAUUUCAAUCUCAGUGUAAUAAAUAAUUGCCAGGAGUCAGUUAGAAAAGAGAGUACAUACAUUAUUUCUAAAAUAAUCAAUUAUUUUAAUUAUUCUGUGCUUAAUGUUUGGAAUCAGAUUCAUAUUUCAAAUAUUGCCAUAGAUUCGAAUCAGAUUCAAACCGAACUGAAAAUCUAGGAUUUGUACAGCCCUACUUAAUGCUCAAAACUUUCACAUGUUAAUUGAUAAUGAAAAAAUAAACAUGUGAAAGUUUUGUGUUUGAAGUAAUAAUUUGUUAGUUCAACUUAAUGUCCUUAUUGCAUG